Molecule: ribosomal RNA, 253 nt
Filed under: uncultured bacterium
Lineage: Bacteria
Description: partial 16S ribosomal RNA
Rfam family: Bacterial small subunit ribosomal RNA
Source: RNAcentral
UACGUAGGGUCCGAGCGUUGUCCGGAGUUACUGGGCGUAAAGCGCGCGCAGGCGGCGGCGCAGGCCUGGCGUGAAAGCCCCCGGCUCAACCGGGGAGGGUCGUCGGGGACUGCGUCGCUUGAGGACGGCAGGGGCCGGUGGAAUGCCCGGUGUAGUGGUGAAAUGCGUAGAGAUCGGGCAGAACACCCGUGGCGAAGGCGGCCGGCUGGGCCGAUCCUGACGCUGAGGCGCGAAGGCGUGGGGAGCGAACGGG